CCUCAGCUGAAUCCAUAAAUAUCAUAGAAUUGCAGCUUCUACCAAGUAGGUUCAUUCUUAGCUCCAUGCACCUCAUCCAAAAGUGGAUUAUAUCAUCAUUGGCUCACUAAAACCAUUUAUUAUGAACAUAGGAACAAAAUUGAAAGGGUU
This is a long non-coding RNA of Hibiscus syriacus, 150 nucleotides long. RefSeq lists it as uncharacterized. The transcript has 4 exons. The record is from RefSeq and is a predicted model, not a curated record. NCBI's taxonomy places the organism in Eukaryota, Viridiplantae, Streptophyta, Magnoliopsida, Malvales, Malvaceae.